This is a long non-coding RNA of Cydia pomonella (codling moth), 472 nucleotides long. RefSeq lists it as uncharacterized. The record is from RefSeq and is a predicted model, not a curated record. The transcript is spliced from 2 exons. NCBI's taxonomy places the organism in Eukaryota, Metazoa, Arthropoda, Insecta, Lepidoptera, Tortricidae.
AAUAGAUUUAUUGAUUAAUUUUUAAAAUUAAAAAUCCACUGCACAGUAUCUCCGCUCAGACUCGGUUAAAGUUUAAUCCAUUGUACUAAACUAAGCAACAACAAUUAUUUCAAGAGGGUGAACGUGAGCAAAAAAUCCUUGGGCGUCAUAUCAUUUCCUUGGAAAGGCUCAAAAUCAAAAGGCACGGAUCCGCCACAUAAUUCCGACUAGUUGUAGUUUCCCGGUGACCAUCAACAAGACCGCUGCACUGAGCUGUGGAGCAGAAAGUGUCCGACAAUCGGAUAGAUGUAAUAACAACUUUGUCUGUCAUAUAUUCAUGUAUUUUUUGUUUUUUGGGCUGAUAUAUGUGAUAUGAUUACAAGUUACACUAAUUGCAAUUGUGGAGUAAAAUCAGAUGUGCCAAAGAUCAUGUUUUAGAUAUAUAAAAAGCUAUAUUAAAUGCAAUAAAUAGUAUAUGUAUAUAUAUAUAAAA